Molecule: ribosomal RNA, 253 nt
Filed under: uncultured bacterium
Lineage: Bacteria
Description: partial 16S ribosomal RNA
Rfam family: Bacterial small subunit ribosomal RNA
Source: RNAcentral
UACAGAGGUCUCAAGCGUUGUUCGGAUUCAUUGGGCGUAAAGGGUGCGUAGGCGGCCCUGUAAGUCAGUGCUGAAAUAUCCCAGCUUAACUGGGAGGGUGGCAUUGAUACUGCGGGGCUAGAGUACAGAUGAGGUAGGCGGAAUUGACGGUGUAGCGGUGAAAUGCUUAGAUAUCGUCAAGAACACCUAUAGCGAAGGCAGCUUACUAGGCUGUAACUGACGCUGAGGCACGAAAGUGUGGGGAUCAAACAGG